AGUGGGUUGGCCAAGUGGUAAGGCAUCUCUCUCACACAGGACCUACAAACUCGUUACACCGAGUCUGUAGGUUCAGAACAGAGAAAAUCGUGGGUUCGACCCCCACACUCACUA
Leptodontidium sp. MPI-SDFR-AT-0119 is the source of this 114-nucleotide non-coding RNA. The record is from the annotation of a GenBank genome assembly. NCBI's taxonomy places the organism in Eukaryota, Fungi, Ascomycota, Leotiomycetes, Helotiales, Leptodontidiaceae.